UUUAAGUGAAGAGUUUGAUCCUGGCUCAGAGUGAACGCUGGCGGUAGGCCUAACACAUGCAAGUCGAACGGCAGCACAGAGGAGCUUGCUCCUUGGGUGGCGAGUGGCGGACG
RNAcentral lists this ribosomal RNA (113 nucleotides) under Stenotrophomonas maltophilia. RNAcentral describes it as "partial 16S ribosomal RNA". It matches the Rfam family "Bacterial small subunit ribosomal RNA", at positions 1 to 104 of the family's 1533-position model. Lineage: Bacteria; Pseudomonadati; Pseudomonadota; Gammaproteobacteria; Lysobacterales; Lysobacteraceae. The record is from RNAcentral.